GUUGGGUAGGGGAGCGUUCUGUAAGCCUGUGAAGGUGGCCUGUGAGGGUUGCUGGAGGUAUCAGAAGUGCGAAUGCUGACAUAAGUAACGAUAAAGCGGGUGAAAAGCCCGCUCGCCGGAAGACCAAGGGUUCCUGUCCAACGUUAAUCGGGGCAGGGUGAGUCGACCCCUAAGGCGAGGCCGAAAGGCGUAGUCGAUGGGAAACGGGUUAAUAUUCCCGUACUUGGUGUUACUGCGAAGGGGGGACGGAGAAGGCUAUGUUGGCCGGGCGACGGUUGUCCCGGUUUAAGCGUGUAGGUGUGUGUUCCAGGUAAAUCCGGUUCACUUUAACACUGAGGCGUGAUGACGAGGCACUACGGUGCUGAAGCAACAAAUGCCCUGCUUCCAGGAAAAGCCUCUAAGCAUCAGGUAACAUCAAAUCGUACCCCAAACCGACACAGGUGGUCAGGUAGAGAAUACCAAGGCGCUUGAGAGAACUCGGGUGAAGGAACUAGGCAAAAUGGUGCCGUAACUUCGGGAGAAGGCACGCUGACAUGUAGGUGAAGUGAUUUACUCAUGGAGCUGAAGUCAGUCGAAGAUACCAGCUGGCUGCAACUGUUUAUUAAAAACACAGCACUGUGCAAACACGAAAGUGGACGUAUACGGUGUGACGCCUGCCCGGUGCCGGAAGGUUAAUUGAUGGGGUCAGCGCAAGCGAAGCUCCUGAUCGAAGCCCCGGUAAACGGCGGCCGUAACUAUAACGGUCCUAAGGUAGCGAAAUUCCUUGUCGGGUAAGUUCCGACCUGCACGAAUGGCGUAAUGAUGGCCAGGCUGUCUCCACCCGAGACUCAGUGAAAUUGAACUCGCUGUGAAGAUGCAGUGUACCCGCGGCAAGACGGAAAGACCCCGUGAACCUUUACUAUAGCUUGACACUGAACAUUGAGCCUUGAUGUGUAGGAUAGGUGGGAGGCUUUGAAGCGUGGACGCCAGUCUGCGUGGAGCCGGCCUUGAAAUACCACCCUUUAAUGUUUGAUGUUCUAACGUGGACCCGUGAUCCGGGUUGCGGACAGUGUCUGGUGGGUAGUUUGACUGGGGCGGUCUCCUCCUAAAGAGUAACGGAGGAGCACGAAGGUUGGCUAAUCCUGGUCGGACAUCAGGAGGUUAGUGCAAUGGCAUAAGC
This 1159-nucleotide ribosomal RNA is filed under the name Salmonella enterica subsp. enterica serovar Derby. Its description in RNAcentral is "partial 23S ribosomal RNA". It matches the Rfam family "Bacterial large subunit ribosomal RNA", at positions 1223 to 2364 of the family's 2925-position model. The record is from RNAcentral. RNAcentral also lists the same sequence under 1 other name. Lineage: Bacteria; Pseudomonadati; Pseudomonadota; Gammaproteobacteria; Enterobacterales; Enterobacteriaceae.